RNAcentral lists this ribosomal RNA (58 nucleotides) under Pseudomonas fluorescens. RNAcentral describes it as "partial 23S ribosomal RNA". The record is from RNAcentral. Lineage: Bacteria; Pseudomonadati; Pseudomonadota; Gammaproteobacteria; Pseudomonadales; Pseudomonadaceae.
GUUGAGCUAACCAAUACUAAUUGCCCGUGAGGCUUGACCAUAUAACACCCAAGCAAUU